UAUCAUGUGACAUGAAUCCUUCCCUGACCUA
This 31-nucleotide non-coding RNA is filed under the name Mus musculus (house mouse). Lineage: Eukaryota; Metazoa; Chordata; Mammalia; Rodentia; Muridae. The record is from RNAcentral.